GCUGAGUGUGUCCGUCUGUGCCCUGCCAGAGCACACAUCAUACCAUGUGGAUCACGCUGAUUGAGCGCCUGCGGUGACCUGUGUGGUCCUUGGAUAGAGGAUUAUUGGACCAUGGCGACUGCACAUUCUCCCCAAGACAGACAACUGAUAACAGACCUUAGAAUAGCCAUAAAAUGCCACAUCCCGACAAAUGCGCACCCAGGAAUCGCUUAAUCCUGAAAGUCUUAUAAGAAGAUCUGGUGAGAGGCAGAGUCAAGUACACACCACAAGGGGAGAGAGGAAGAGAAGAGGCUUGACAUCUUUUUUUUUUUCUUUUUGAGACAAAGUUUCGCUCUUGUUGCGCAGGCUGGAGUGCAAUGGCGCCAUCUCGGCUCACUGCAACCUCUGCCUCUGAGGUUCAAGUGAUUCUCUGGCUUCAGCCUUCCCAGUAACUGGGAUUACUGGCAUCUGCCACCAUACCCAGUUAAUUUUUGUAUUUUUAGUAGAGACGGGGUUUCACCAUGUUAACCAGCCUGUUCUCGAACUCCUGACUACUAUUUCUGCUGUUACCUGUCAGUCCUCUUCAUUGCGGCACAAACAAGGUUAAUUUUUUUUUGUAAAACUGAUGUGGGCCAGGUGCAGUGGCUCAUGCCUGUAAUCCCAGCACUUUGGGAGGCCGAGGCGGGUGGAUCACGAGGUCACGAGUUCAAGACCAGCCUGGCCAAUAUGGUGAAACCCCAUCUCUACUAAAAAUACAAAAAUUAGCAGGGUGUGGUGACACUGCAUCUGAUCUCAUCAUAAAUUUGAUGUUUCUUUUUGUUUCAAUUUUAGCAGAAUUUAUUUUACUUUGAUAGAGUCUCUUUUCAAACUUAUGUCUUAUCCUUCUGAGUGCCUUCAACUACAGCCUGUUCAGACAUGUUAUAACAGACUUGUACCAGUUUAAUUUGGUGCAAAAACUGUGAAAUUCAUGCACAAUUUUCUCAUAAUAUGUAUUUUUCCAUGAACUUCAUCAAGAUCCCUUGUACUAGAAAACUGUAUUCAAGAGGAUGUAAAAAGGAUUGUAGAUAUUCAAGUGCCACUUAUUUCUGGGAUGCAAGGAUGGUUCAACAUAUUCAAGCAAAUCAAUGUGAUAUGCCACUUGAACAGAAUGAAAGAUGAAAACCACAUCAUCUUAAUAGAGGGAGAAAAAGCAUUUCACAAAAUUCAAAAUCCAGUCAUCAUAGAAAUCCUAAACAAAAUAGAUAGAAAGGAAAUUUACCUAAACAAUAGAAAGACCAUCCAUGAAAUGACCAAUGAGUGAAUAAUCAAGUAGGGAAAAUGGAAUGCCUUUCCUGGAGGAUCUCACAUGAUGCAAGAGUGCUCUCACCCCUUCUAUUCAAUCAAUACUGGCUGUCCUAGCUAGAGCAAUUAAAUAGCAGAAGAAAUCAAACUCAUCGAAAUCAGAAAGAAAGAAGUAAAAUUAUAUUUGUUUGUAGACGACAUGAUCUUCUGUGCAGAAAAUCACAAAGAGUCAACCAAAAUACUACUGGAACUAAGUAACA
This 1520-nucleotide long non-coding RNA is filed under the name Homo sapiens (human). RNAcentral's name for it is "HSALNT0262067". The record is from RNAcentral. Lineage: Eukaryota; Metazoa; Chordata; Mammalia; Primates; Hominidae.